This 558-nucleotide ribosomal RNA is filed under the name uncultured Methanosarcina sp. Its description in RNAcentral is "bacterial SSU rRNA". It matches the Rfam family "Archaeal small subunit ribosomal RNA", at positions 345 to 903 of the family's 1478-position model. The record is from RNAcentral. Lineage: Archaea; Methanobacteriati; Methanobacteriota; Methanomicrobia; Methanosarcinales; Methanosarcinaceae.
AAACUUUACAAUGCGGGAAACCGUGAUAAGGGGACACCGAGUGCCAGCAUCAUAUGCUGGCUGUCCGGAUGUGUAAAAUACAUCCGUUAGCAAGGGCCGGGCAAGACUGGUGCCAGCCGCCGCGGUAACACCGGCGGCCCGAGUGGUGAUCGUGAUUAUUGGGUCUAAAGGGUCCGUAGCCGGUUUGGUCAGUCCUCCGGGAAAUCUGAUAGCUCAACUAUUAGGCUUUCGGGGGAUACUGCCAGACUUGGAACCGGGAGAGGUAAGAGGUACUACAGGGGUAGGAGUGAAAUCUUGUAAUCCCUGUGGGACCACCUGUGGCGAAGGCGUCUUACCAGAACGGGUUCGACGGUGAGGGACGAAAGCUGGGGGCACGAACCGGAUUAGAUACCCGGGUAGUCCUAGCCGUAAACGAUACUCGCUAGGUGUCGGCCACGGUGCGACCGUUGUCGGUGCCGUAGGGAAGCCGUGAAGCGAGCCACCUGGGAAGUACGGCCGCAAGGCUGAAACUUAAAGGAAUUGGCGGGGGAGCACCACAACGGGUGGAGCUUGCGGUUU